This 243-nucleotide ribosomal RNA is filed under the name uncultured bacterium. Its description in RNAcentral is "partial 16S ribosomal RNA". It matches the Rfam family "Bacterial small subunit ribosomal RNA", at positions 1258 to 1500 of the family's 1533-position model. The record is from RNAcentral.
UGACGUUAAGCAAAUCCCAGAAAUAACGUCCCAGUUCGGAUUGUAGUCUGCAACCCGACUACAUGAAGCUGGAAUCGCUAGUAAUCGCGAAUCAGAAUGUCGCGGUGAAUACGUUCCCGGGUCUUGUACACACCGCCCGUCACACCAUGGGAGUCGGAAAUGCCCGAAGUCAGUGACCCAACCGUAAGGAGGGAGCUGCCGAAGGUGGAGCCGGUAACUGGGGUGAAGUCGUAACAAGGUACC